Long non-coding RNA from Dermochelys coriacea (leatherback sea turtle), 6307 nucleotides. RefSeq lists it as uncharacterized. The record is from RefSeq and is a predicted model, not a curated record. NCBI's taxonomy places the organism in Eukaryota, Metazoa, Chordata, Testudines, Dermochelyidae. The transcript is spliced from 2 exons.
UCAAAAAAACAGACUGAGGAGGAGAUAGUAGUGCCCCCUUAUAACCUUUAGCCCAGUCGAUAGUGCACUCACGAUGCGGUAGACAGUAGGUUCAGAUCUCCUUCCCAUCUGAUGUGGACCAGAGAUUUGAAGCUGCCUUUCAGCAGAACGCCCUAGUCACUGGGCUAAGUGCUAUUUUGGGGUUGGUAUUUCAGUAUCUUCCAUUGAAGCUGUUUCACUAUAUAUAAAUUAAAUAAUAAUUGGGCUGGAGAAAAUGAAAGUGACUAUAGCUCAGUGGGAAGCUCAUAGCUAUAAAAGUGACUAUAGCUCAUUCUCCUGUUGGGUGGGAGAUGUGGGAUCAAAUCCAUGCUGCAAAUCAGAGGAAGGAAUUGAACUCAGGUCUCCUGCAUCCUGGCAGAGUGCUAUAACCACUUGUUUAAAGGUUAUAUGGGGUGGACACCAUUAUCUUCCUGUGGGGUUCUGUAUGGGGCCUGAUCCAGUAGAUGUGGUUUAAGGCUAAUUCUAAUAAUGCCUACUGGAUUGGGCCCCUCAGAGACGGUAGUGGUGGGAGAACACCUCCUUUUAAGGUCCUGCUGGGGCUUUAGGCAUGAGAGAGUCAUCUGGAGUCAGGACUGGGGCAGUAUUUGCAUGAUUGCUAGCAGAUUUUUAGGUGCUGCUGGGACUUCACGAAAAUAAAUGUAUGGACCUAUGGCAUUAGGCAGCAGCUGCUGAAUCGGUGUUUUGAGGAUCUGAAUUUUGGACUUGGGUGGCCAAAGUGGCAGUUAAAUACAUAAUAUUUCUUCUAUUGUCAAUCUUUCCAUAGUGCUUAUGUAUAAUGGUGAUGAGCACUGCAGAAAUACCUCUUAUACUGCUAGUAGGAAAGAUGACAUGCUCAAAAAGGUACUCAGUACAUGUUGAUGUAGUCCUGUUGGAAACAAUACUGUGUUAACAUGCACUAUGAAUCUUUUAGAGUGCAUCAGCAGGGCCUACAUAAGUCAGGUAGAAUUCUUCCGUUGACCUAACAUUAUCUACAUGGCGGGGGUUUGAUUGGCUUAACUGUGUUGCUCCGGGGUGUGGAUUUUCCCUAUGUCUGAGUGACUUAGCUGGGUCUACCCAACUUUUUAGUAUAGACCAGGCCUUACUGACUCUAAAGGUAGUUUCAGUGAGAGAUUGGAGUGGAAAUGAAGCUUCCUGGUGGUUCCAAGACACGAAUAGAAGGCUGGAAAGGGAGGGAAUAAUUGAAUGGGAUUAAGGGAGGGGUUAUUAACAAAAUGGGAUGCUUGAAAGUGGGAGUUGAAUUAAAUAAUAUUUAAUUAUAUCCCUUUUAAAGGGGAAUGGUAGUAUUGAAUAUAUAGUAUGUUUUACAGACUUCUUUUAGUGCUGUGGUAAGAAAAAUCCAGUUUAGAAUGGAUUCUUGUAUAUUUUGUCCAUAGCUUAUCUGAUAAGGAUGUUCAGACUCUGAACUCUGCCAUUCAAGAAGUUGUAUGUAUUGUAAAUUGGAGCUAGUGGAAUAGAAAUAAGCCUAAGAGUUCUGUUCUUUCCUUCUUCAGCUCUCCUGGUUAAGAAUACAUGUCUGUUUGCAUUAUUCCAUGCUGUAAUAUGAUUCUAAUCUAGUUGCUCCAUUAAUAUACCACCUCAUAGUAUUAUGCCUGGUCAUAUAGCAAUGGUGACUGCUAUAACUUGGCAAAAUGUCCGCUGGAUAUAUGAAAGAAAUGAGUCCUUGAGUAGUACCAAGCUUCAAAUUUUUUUUUUAAAUUAAAAAUACAACUUCAGUUAUGAACGGUGGUCAGAUUUUUCAACAGUUAAUAUUUAUUCUGAGAUGAGUAGUUUCUUAGUGUAUAACUGACACAUCCACAGGUGUUGCUUUGCAUAAGUAUUCCAUAGACUUGAGUUCUUAACUAUAUUAAAAAUUUGGACACAUCACUUAAACCAGAGCUUGUUGCUUUUUGGAUGGCUAUGCUGCUAAUGUUAAUUUUUGAUAACAUUGCAUUGGGUGAAUAUUCCUUAAUGAGCGUUUAUGUAUUGAGAGCAGUAUAAAUCCCCCAUGAUCAGGCUUAGAACAGCUAAAUUAAGUUCUGGAACAUGAAUUGAUUUUCAUACUCCUUGGUGUCCACAGUGCAUUACUGGGAGAAGGGGCAAUGGUCUGGUUGCCCCCUGGCCUGUCGCAGACAAAGUAUGCUGAAAAGAGAUGUUGCAGGAGUGUGUUGUGUAGCUUCAGGAGGUAGGAUGUCACCUUUAUAGAUGCAUUAAGAGCUGAAUUAUAAUAUAGUUUCUAGAAACACCAGUCAGUGUCUUGUUUAUAUGACAACUAGCACAAAAUAGAUACAGUCCCUGCCCUGGCGAUCUUUGUCUAUAAUUUGGCUACUCCUUAGACUUUUUUUAAGGGGGGAGUCCAUCAUUUAUGUAGGAAAAAUUUUUUUCUUAAAGGGUAGCUGCAACUGCUUGUUCUAUCUCUGUAUUUCUGUUGCUAGCAAAAUUAACUAGUAAUGAAUAGGUACAGUUAAACCAGUGCUGAACAUGGAUUAACUGCUGGUGUGGCAAGAGCAAACAGCAUUCAGCACUCUUCCAGAAACUUUGGUUCAAACCUGCUCUUACCAUAGUUUCGGAAACAGCAUGGAAAACACUGUCCUUGGCUACACUUGUACUUAACCCAUGUUCAGCACUUGUCAGUAAUAGGUAACUUUUCUAGAGUAAACAUGCUUAUAAAGCCAUAUGAACUCAAUUGGACAUACUUUUGUAAUUAAUGGCAUAAUUUACUUGUUACAAACUUUUUCAUUGAGUCAACUCUUCAUAGCCAUCUAAAUUUGAAACUUAAUUUGUACUUCUAGUUUAGUUUGACACUAUUUACAACUGAGAACAAACCUAGCAAGCAGGUAAUUUAUGCCCAUUGUUAGACCUCUGAACUUGAGUGUCCACUCAGCUUUAAUUGAAGUGGUGAUGGUGUAGGUUGAAAGCACAGUUUGUAGCAACAAAGCUUGCUUAUGGAUCCUGAGGGAUAAUUUAAUUUGAUCCAAGAUGUGUGGCCCGGCAUUCCUGUAUCUUAACUUUAUGCAAAACUGAGUAGCUCAUUAAAUUGUCUGAGAGCUCUGUAAAAAUGAUCUUGCUUUGUUUGAACUUACUGCAAACAGCUGAAAAGCUGCACUAAAGGGGCAGCUGGGGAUUCCUUGUUAGUGUAAGUGGCAUAGCCAGCUUUACAUUCUUUCCCUUCUUGUGGGGCUCACUAUAAGAGCACAUCUUGAGCUUUGGAAGCUUGGGGGAGUCUGUUUUCCAUUUCUCUUGGAAUGGCUAAAGGUGAUUGAGCGCCAUCCUUGCCUCUCUGCCCCCUUGAGCUUGGUACAGCUGAGGACUGAGUCAUUGAUGUGGAGGGCAUAUUGUCACAGCUUGCACUUUUAAAGAACUGUUGGUGCUUUGUGGAAACCUUUUGAUAACUUUCUAACUAAAAAUGUCCUGCUUUAUUCGGCACUGGCGUACUCAGUAUUCAGAUGGAGUACUGUAUCAGUGUGUCCAGUUUAAGAAAGAUCUGGACAAAUUGGCGAGAGUCCAGAGGAGAAUGCGCGCACACAAAAAUUAAAGGUUUAGAAAACCUGAUCUGUGAGGACAAGUUUAAAAAAAGUGGGCAUGUUUAGUCUUGAGAAAAGAAGCCUAUGGGGGUACCUGAUAAGUCUUCAAAUAUUGUAUAGGCUGUAAUAAAGAGGAUGGUGAUCAAGUUCUCCAUGUCCGCUGAAGGUAGGCAGUAGGACAUAAAUCUGUUUAAUCUGCAGCAAGGGAGAUUGAGGGUAGAUGCUAGGAAAAGCAUUCUAACUGUAAGGGUAUUUAAGUUCUUGGAGUUUUAAGAACUGGUUGGACAAACAUCUGUUAGAGGGGUCUUGGUUUACUUGGUCCUGUCUCAGUGCAGGGCUGGAUUUGAGGACUUUUCCAGAUCCCUUCCAGCUCUGUAUUCCUAUGAGUAAACGCUUUUUUUUUAGUGAAAACUAUCUUUUCACUCUUUAAAGUAAUCCUAGUUCUUAUGAAAAGUAGUGGUUGCUAAUGUAAUGCUGAAAUCCUAUAUCCACAGAACAGGUAUGUGACAGCCAGCAGCAGUGUUGUCUUACCCACAGUGUCCUUGCCAUGUACUUCAAACCUGAUCUUAGGUGUUGAGUUCUUGUGCUUCAAGCAUUUAACAGGCAGGACUGAAGUGCUGAUUCCAGUGUCCAUAUUACCAAAAUCAGUGUUCUGCUGAGAACUAACCUUAGGGCUCAUCUACAUGUGACAGUUGCACUGGUUUAACUAAAGAUGUGACUUUUAACUAGUUAAAUUGUGUGGAAAUGCUUAUUCUGAUUUACUUUAAAGUGAAUUAGGAAUUGGUUUAAGAUAAAUAAAAAUAAGCCGUCUUAAAUGGAAGAAAGCAUCCAUGCAGAGGUGUACAGUGACUUAACUAAAUGUUUAAAAAUCGACUUAAGUUGAAGCAAUAUAACGCUUUACUGUAGACAAGACCUGAACAGUUGGCUUCAUGUACUACCAAUCUGUUUUUGAACCAGUCAUCUAAGGAUGAAGGGGUGGUUUACUUAAUUACCUGAGUCACUCAUUCUGUUGUGACUCUUAUGUUAAGAUUUCAUAAACUUGAGUUCAAGGAUGGGGAAAAGCAGCAUGACCUUUGCAUGGUGGAAAAUAUAGUGACAAUUGCUUUAGAGGAGCCUGUUCUAUUGACAUUUCUGGACAGGUCAGCUGUUAAGGGAAUGUGAUUUCCCCCCUCCCCCCCAAGUCUUUAAUUUAAUCUAGUAACUAAAAUGAAUACUUUAGCAGAAUGUUUCUGUGAUUUCCAGGUUUAUCGGUAGGGGAGGAGACAGAAAUACAUUAAAACUAUUUGCAACCUGGAUUAAAUCUGUUGCUUUGAGUUAAAAAUAAAGGGUGGAGAGUGCUUUGGCAGAAUUGAGGUUAAAAGCGCUGUAGAAGCUUUUUUCCUUCGGAGGGGGAAACUCUUCCAAAGCAUGAGGAGUGAAAAAUAAAUUACCUACCUAUAUUGUAUUGUAGAGUGUAUUCACUUGAUUUUAUUUUUUAAUUAAUUUUCUUAUGAAUGAGUUGUUUGUUGAUCUUGCUUCUAUCAGUGCAAUAAGGUUGGUUUAGUCGCACCCUCUGUUACUCAGGCAAAUAGCAGUCUGUGGACAGGGAAGUGUUUGUAUCCUUCGAGAUUGAGGAUUGCUACUCAUUUCAGGCAUUUCUAUAUUUUGUUACUGUGCCUUCGGUUGGAAUGGUCAGCCCCUGGGUAAAACUUUUGAACUCCAGUAGUGGUUCAGUUUACUCACAUUUAAAGUUAACCUACUAUCCAUAUGCUUUUUACAGCUUUUGGUUUUGUUUUCACCCUAACAAUAAAACCAUAGGUUGCAUGUAACUGUUUUGAUUCUCUUGGGCACUUUUCUCCAUGUCCCUGGCAAUCAUUAAAAGAAAGGGCAGCAAGUACACUGUAUGGCUGUACUAUGUAUCCAUAGCACGUGUAUUGAAGGGCCAGACUUGCAUUGUUUCAUUGAGCCCUAAAUAUUCACCAUAGCUAGAACUGAGAACAUCUGGAAGUUCAGGAAGCGCACAAUAUCAAGGAGAGGCCAGAACAGAGUAUUUUCAGUUCCAAGUAAUAGCCUGGCCAAAUUGCUAUUCCUCCCUCUGGAUGGGCGUUUACUUUCAAUGUAAAAGCUGAAGUAUGAACUAAAAGUCAAAAACCCCUAGAGGAGAGCCUUAUCUGUUGAUCUGACUCCUGCACAUACCCACAACUUUCUCAUCAGCAGUUUCUAAGGUUCCACAUAGGUCACAACUGGCUUGUUAGGCUAAAUGGCAGGGGAGGCCAACAUCUGCAUUCUAAGAAUGUUCAUAGAAGUGCAAUUUUUUUCAGCUGAGUCAGGUAUUUAUUAUGUAGUCAAAAGAUCCUCACAGCUUUUAGAAUCACCCUGACCGAAACUUACUCUUCCUCUCUCCUCCCCCACUCCCUUUGCUGAAAUGUACAAAUAAGGAAUCUUUGCACACAAAGAAAAGAAAUAAUGUCUGUCACUGAAUGGCCUUGCUUGGAAUUGUGGUCUAGUACCAGGACCUGAAGCUGUGAGCCAAGGCCAGUCUUCAUCCCAUUCAGCUGAUCAUUCUGGCUUUAUUCAUAUCCUGUGUAGCCAAUCUAGGGGAGGAAGUUGGAGGAAUGGAUGGUGUCUUCAACCUGGUCAGAGCAUCCUCUUUCCUGGUGACUGAAAACAGCACAUUAUAGAAGAUGUGUUACUGCUGAAACCAGUCUCCAUCUUGCAAGACAUGCCAGUUUAACAUGCUGGGGGCAUCCAUGGGAGCAAAAGCAGCUCGAAGUUUUGGUCUCCUAAAG